RNAcentral lists this ribosomal RNA (404 nucleotides) under Actinomycetes bacterium. RNAcentral's name for it is "Actinobacteria bacterium partial 16S ribosomal RNA". It matches the Rfam family "Bacterial small subunit ribosomal RNA", at positions 355 to 776 of the family's 1533-position model. Lineage: Bacteria; Bacillati; Actinomycetota; Actinomycetes. The record is from RNAcentral.
UGGGGAAUAUUGGACAAUGGGCGCAAGCCUGCUCCAGCCAUGCCGCGUGAGUGAUGAAGGCCCUAGGGUUGUAAAGCUCUUUCACCGGUGAAGAUAAUGACGGUAACCGGAGAAGAAGCCCCGGCUAACUUCGUGCCAGCAGCCGCGGUAAUACGAAGGGGGCUAGCGUUGUUCGGAUUUACUGGGCGUAAAGCGCACGUAGGCGGACUUUUAAGUCAGGGGUGAAAUCCCGGGGCUCAACCCCGGAACUGCCGUUGAUACUGGAAGUCUUGAGUAUGGUAGAGGUGAGUGGAAUUCCGAGUGUAGAGGUGAAAUUCGUAGAUAUUCGGAGGAACACCAGUGGCGAAGGCGGCUCACUGGACCAUUACUGACGCUGAGGUGCGAAAGCGUGGGGAGCAAACAGG